UACGUAGGGCGCAAGCGUUGUCCGGAAUUAUUGGGCGUAAAGAGCUCGUAGGCGGUCAGUCGCGUCUGCUGUGAAAACUCGGGGCUUAACUCCGGGCCUGCAGUGGGUACGGGCUGACUAGAGUGCGGUAGGGGAGACUGGAAUUCCUGGUGUAGCGGUGAAAUGCGCAGAUAUCAGGAGGAACACCGGUGGCGAAGGCGGGUCUCUGGGCCGUAACUGACGCUGAGGAGCGAAAGCAUGGGGAGCGAACAGG
RNAcentral lists this ribosomal RNA (253 nucleotides) under uncultured bacterium. RNAcentral's name for it is "partial 16S ribosomal RNA". It matches the Rfam family "Bacterial small subunit ribosomal RNA", at positions 524 to 776 of the family's 1533-position model. The record is from RNAcentral.